AUUGAACGCUGGCGGCAGGCCUAACACAUGCAAGUCGAGCGCGCGGCGGACGGGUGUGAUAUGUAUGGGGACGGCCAGAUAGAGGGGGAAAAAUAGUGGAAACGGUGGCAAACACCGCAAAAUAUCGGAAAACACAUAUGUGUCUAGCUAGUAGGUGGGGUAAUGGCUCCCCUAGGCGACGAUCUCUAGCUGGUCUGAGAGGAUGAUCAGCCACCCUGGGACUGAGACACGGCCCAGACUCCUACGGAGGCAGCAGUGGGGAAUAUUGCACAAUGGGCGCAAGCCUGAUGCAGCCAUGCCGCGUGUAUGAAGAAGGCCUUAGGGUUGUAAAGUACUUUCAGCGGGGAGGCGUGACCGGCAGAAGAAGCACCGGCUAACUCCGUGCCAGCAGCCGCGGUAAUUC
RNAcentral lists this ribosomal RNA (403 nucleotides) under uncultured bacterium. RNAcentral describes it as "partial 16S ribosomal RNA". It matches the Rfam family "Bacterial small subunit ribosomal RNA", at positions 30 to 526 of the family's 1533-position model. The record is from RNAcentral.